This is a long non-coding RNA of Engraulis encrasicolus (European anchovy), 452 nucleotides long. RefSeq lists it as uncharacterized. The record is from RefSeq and is a predicted model, not a curated record. Lineage: Eukaryota; Metazoa; Chordata; Actinopteri; Clupeiformes; Engraulidae. The transcript has 4 exons.
ACCACAUAUGUACUGGUUCAAUGUCUGAGGGAACAUUUUCCGGACAAAUGCUUUCACAAUCUGGGACAAUACAGAGCAAGUUAUGGCUAACACCUGACGCUGAAGUCUGGAUCAAUACCACCAAGCCUCCUGAACAAAAGUUCCUGUUACAGACGGUCAUGAUGAGUAGAAGAAGGCAACAUGAUGAAGCAAAACUCCAUCACCACUACGUUGGAGUCUUCCCAUUCAGUCAUCAUCCAAUUUGCUCCAAAGAAUCACAUACAAGCAGACGCUUCUUACAGAUGGCUGUCCUCUAGAAUGAAAAUGCACACCAACCACCGACAAACAUCAAAAGCUAAUCCAACCUUUGGCUUUGUGUGGAAAGGUCUUCGGAAACCCUGUGACUGAUGCAAUGUUGGUGCCCUAGAAGACAAGUCAGCACAGUUCAGACGAGCCAGCCAGAGGAGGUCACC